Molecule: ribosomal RNA, 615 nt
Filed under: Bacillus sp. (in: firmicutes)
Lineage: Bacteria; Bacillati; Bacillota; Bacilli; Caryophanales; Bacillaceae
Description: bacterial SSU rRNA
Rfam family: Bacterial small subunit ribosomal RNA
Source: RNAcentral
CGUGGGUAACCUGCCUGUAAGACUGGGAUAACUCCGGGAAACCGGGGCUAAUACCGGAUGCUUGUUUGAACCGCAUGGUUCAAACAUAAAAGGUGGCUUCGGCUACCACUUACAGAUGGACCCGCGGCGCAUUAGCUAGUUGGUGAGGUAACGGCUCACCAAGGCAACGAUGCGUAGCCGACCUGAGAGGGUGAUCGGCCACACUGGGACUGAGACACGGCCCAGACUCCUACGGGAGGCAGCAGUAGGGAAUCUUCCGCAAUGGACGAAAGUCUGACGGAGCAACGCCGCGUGAGUGAUGAAGGUUUUCGGAUCGUAAAGCUCUGUUGUUAGGGAAGAACAAGUACCGUUCGAAUAGGGCGGUACCUUGACGGUACCUAACCAGAAAGCCACGGCUAACUACGUGCCAGCAGCCGCGGUAAUACGUAGGUGGCAAGCGUUGUCCGGAAUUAUUGGGCGUAAAGGGCUCGCAGGCGGUUUCUUAAGUCUGAUGUGAAAGCCCCCGGCUCAACCGGGGAGGGUCAUUGGAAACUGGGGAACUUGAGUGCAGAAGAGGAGAGUGGAAUUCCACGUGUAGCGGUGAAAUGCGUAGAGAUGUGGAGGAACACCAGUGGC